ACGGCUGUGAGGAAGUUUGCACUCACAGAUCCCCACAGGCACGGGGCAUUUUAAGCCCCACCAUGCCAGAAAGACCAGGGAUGGUCAGGAAACAAGGAUGUGGGCACCGUGUGGCUGGGACCUUUACUGGGAUUUACGAGGGAAGGAAUAAGCCAGGCAGGGGAAAAUCUAAAAUUGGAUCAAAAAGAAACAGAACUGUGAGCUUCCGACAGUUCUUCUUGUGAUUGGAUUACUAAAUAUUAUUAUUUCUAUUCAUAGUUUACAUUGCUGCUGAUAGAGCUGUUAUUACCGGAAAACAAAAACACAACAAAAACCCUUUGAAAUCUUCUUCGGCAAAUUCUCUCAAUAGAUACCUGGGCUGUCUGUCUGGCUGCUACUUGGCUUCACUUCACAAUAUCCUCUGAAGAGUGACUCACCAAGACCAUCAUUUUAAAAGAUAAAAUAGAAUGUCUUCUUACAUUGGAAGAAGGAAAUGUUUGUCUCUCAAAGUUGCUUUCUAUACGGGCAAAGUAGCUACAUCUAGUGUUUGAAGUAUCAGACAGGAUUAGGAAAUGAAUAACUUUUUAUCCAUACAAGAGAGAAUGUGAUUGUGAACAGCUUCACAAUGCUUGAUUUUCAGCAGUUUAAAUGGAAUCUAAAUUGCAUGCAAUAAAUCAGUGACAUCUUUGAUUCAUUAUAGAUAAUCAAGAGGAA
RNAcentral lists this long non-coding RNA (693 nucleotides) under Homo sapiens (human). RNAcentral describes it as "HSALNT0247576". Lineage: Eukaryota; Metazoa; Chordata; Mammalia; Primates; Hominidae. The record is from RNAcentral.